UCGACCCGAACACAAGUGAGCUGACCAAGAUCGUGUUUGGCUCGCUAAGAUUUUAAGCUAAAAAAUACAGUUCAUGUUUGAUUCGUUUAUUAAACGACCGAUCCAUAUUAAGCUCAUUUCGAGCCGAAGGUCUUCAUUCUAUCAAAUCAUUUUCUAUGAUAGAGAUUUUGAAUUGAUAAUCGAAAUUGCUAAAACUGAUCUAAAAUAUUUGAAGUGUUUAAAAAUUAAAUUUUAUAAUUUUUAAAAAUUAUUUACAUAGCGAUCAAAGCUUCGAAAAAUCGAUAGUUUUGAUGGCCUAUUCAAACCGUUGCUUGUUUAAUAGUAUAAAGCAAUCUAAGCUAUUUGAAUUUUUAAUAAAAAAAAUUUUAUACUAUUUAGAAAAUAUUUGAUAAUCCUGAUAAUGAAUUAAGAAAGUCUAAUCUUUAUUUCAAUUUUGUUUUUAUUGUUUAUUUUUUGACUAUUCGAUGGACUUGAUAAUAAUUUAAAAUUUUAUAAAAUUUGAUUUUUAAAUAUUUUUAAUAGCGUAAAUUAAUUAUAAUAAUACCGAUUAUCAAUUUGGAAUUUGGUCAUUCAAAAUCACUGGAAAAGAUAAAAGCCUCUAUAUAAGGUAUCGUUUGGUUUGGGGAUAAGCAAAAAGUGAAUAUUCUGAGAAUAGAUAUAAAUUGAGGUAUAAGCGGGGAUUAGAUGAAUUUUGUGUUUGGAUGAAAAUUGAGUAUUCCUGAGAAUAAGAAAAAUAGCGUUUGGUUAGGUAAGAUGGGAUAAGAAUUAAAGUGAGUAUUUAUAAAUAAAAAAUAAUGAUAUUAUUUUUUUCUUUAUAUUAGAAUUUAAAUUUUUAUAUUUUAUAUUUAUAUUUUAAAAUUUAAAAUAUAAACUUUUAAAGUUUAAAAAUUAAAAUUAAAAUUUAAAAUUUUAAAAUCUCAAAUUUAUAAUUUUAAAAAAUUAAUUUUUUAAAUUUUGAACUUUAAUUUAAGAUGAAAUUUUAAUUUAAAAAUACAAAAUAUCAUAUUCUAAAUAUAAAAAAAUUAAAAUA
RNAcentral lists this long non-coding RNA (1030 nucleotides) under Ananas comosus (pineapple). RNAcentral's name for it is "long non-coding RNA (ACOM_LNC040049)". The record is from RNAcentral. Lineage: Eukaryota; Viridiplantae; Streptophyta; Magnoliopsida; Poales; Bromeliaceae.